RNAcentral lists this transfer RNA (73 nucleotides) under Stegodyphus mimosarum. It matches the Rfam family "tRNA". Rfam says of the family: Transfer RNA (tRNA) molecules are approximately 80 nucleotides in length. Their secondary structure includes four short double-helical elements and three loops (D, anti-codon, and T loops). Further hydrogen bonds mediate the characteristic L-shaped molecular structure. tRNAs have two regions of fundamental functional importance: the anti-codon, which is responsible for specific mRNA codon recognition, and the 3' end, to which the tRNAs corresponding amino acid is attached (by aminoacyl-tRNA synthetases). tRNAs cope with the degeneracy of the genetic code in two manners: having more than one tRNA (with a specific anti-codon) for a particular amino acid; and 'wobble' base-pairing, i.e. permitting non-standard base-pairing at the 3rd anti-codon position. The record is from Rfam by way of RNAcentral. Lineage: Eukaryota; Metazoa; Arthropoda; Arachnida; Araneae; Eresidae.
GCCUUCGUGGUGUAAUGUUCAGCACACUGAGCCGGUAUUUCAGAGGUCCGCGGUUCGAUUCCCGGCGAAGGCG